GUUCAACAUUUGUUUCUCUAAAUCUCUUGCGUUGUUGAGCUUGUUAUUCAAACUUAUAAAAAUUGAUUAGGAAGUUUGUGUAAUUUGUUUCAAUAAGUCCAAGGCACUAUUUUAUUGUUUUCUUUUCUUAAGCUUAGGAUUAUAUAUUUGUUUCAUUUUGAUAGCUUUUAUUCUUUUGACUACUACAGCUUAAAGAAAAUCAUGACCGUCCUUGUUUAAAGCAUGUUUUAGUUACAAAUAAUUUAUGUGUUGUUGCUACCUUUUGCAUAAUGUAAUCACUGCUUUAAAUCUUGGUUCUUUUGUGUCCAUUGCUAUUUUGAAUUCUUUGUAAUGCAUGGAGUAUGUUUGAUCAAUAAUGCAUGGUGUUUGUUUUGCAUUUACUAAGCAGUAGUGGUAUGCAUAUGACGGAUGCAUUAGUAUGUGUCUAUGCAUUUCGUGUCACUGCCAUUGCUCUACUUGUCGUGGGUUCUUGUUUUAUUUCGUAGCUUCAUUUGGA
This 496-nucleotide unclassified non-coding RNA is filed under the name Hevea brasiliensis (rubber tree). Lineage: Eukaryota; Viridiplantae; Streptophyta; Magnoliopsida; Malpighiales; Euphorbiaceae. The record is from RNAcentral.